RNAcentral lists this transfer RNA (76 nucleotides) under Nitrospirales bacterium. Its description in RNAcentral is "tRNA-Met". It matches the Rfam family "tRNA". From Rfam's summary of the family: Transfer RNA (tRNA) molecules are approximately 80 nucleotides in length. Their secondary structure includes four short double-helical elements and three loops (D, anti-codon, and T loops). Further hydrogen bonds mediate the characteristic L-shaped molecular structure. tRNAs have two regions of fundamental functional importance: the anti-codon, which is responsible for specific mRNA codon recognition, and the 3' end, to which the tRNAs corresponding amino acid is attached (by aminoacyl-tRNA synthetases). tRNAs cope with the degeneracy of the genetic code in two manners: having more than one tRNA (with a specific anti-codon) for a particular amino acid; and 'wobble' base-pairing, i.e. permitting non-standard base-pairing at the 3rd anti-codon position. The record is from RNAcentral. Lineage: Bacteria; Pseudomonadati; Nitrospirota; Nitrospiria; Nitrospirales.
GGCGGUGUAGCUCAGUUGGUAGAGCAGCGGACUCAUAAGCCGCUGGCCGGGGGUUCGAAACCCUCCACCGCCACCA